GGUUCUACUGUCUCCUUUCUCUAAUCAGUGAAACUAAUCUCCCCGUGAAGAAGCGGGGAUAACACUAUAAGACGAGAAGACCCCAUGGAGCUUUAAACCCAAUUAUAUUCCUAGCCACUAUAACCAUUCAAUCUCUUAGGCCCUAUAUACUUGGUUUUAGGUUGGGGCGACCACGGAGUAAAACCAAACCUCCAUGAUGUACGGAACAACCUCCUCAUCUAAGAGCUACAGCUCUAAGAAUUAGCACACUAUCAUAAAAUGACCCAUUAUUGAUCAACGAACCAAGUUACCCUGGGGAUAACAGCGCAAUCCAUUUUAAGAGCCCCUAUCGACAAAUGGG
RNAcentral lists this ribosomal RNA (340 nucleotides) under Mantidactylus femoralis. RNAcentral's name for it is "partial 16S ribosomal RNA". It matches the Rfam family "Bacterial large subunit ribosomal RNA", at positions 2009 to 2516 of the family's 2925-position model. The record is from RNAcentral. Lineage: Eukaryota; Metazoa; Chordata; Amphibia; Anura; Mantellidae.